RNAcentral lists this ribosomal RNA (498 nucleotides) under uncultured bacterium. RNAcentral describes it as "partial 16S ribosomal RNA". It matches the Rfam family "Bacterial small subunit ribosomal RNA", at positions 28 to 507 of the family's 1533-position model. The record is from RNAcentral.
GACGAACGCUGGCGGCGUGCCUAAUACAUGCAAGUCGAACGAGAGCGCCCGGUGCUUGCACUGCUCACUCUAGUGGCGAACGGGUGAGUAACACGUGGGUAACCUGCCCAUCAGAGUGGGAUAACAUCCGGAAACGGAUGCUAAAACCGCAUAAGUCUUCGAACCGCAUGGUUUGAUGAGGAAAAGCGGCGCAAGCUUCUGCUGUUGGUUGGUCCCGCGGUGCAUUAGCUAGUUGGUGAGGUAACGGCUCACCAAGGCCGUGAUGCAUAGCCGACCUGAGAGGGUGAUCGGCCACAUUGGAACUGAGAAACGGCCCAAACUCCUACGGGAGGCAGCAGUAGGGAAUCUUCCGCAAUGGACGAAAGUCUGACGGAGCAACGCCGCGUGAGUGAAGAAGGUGUUCGGAUCGUAAAACUCUGUUGUUAGGGAAGAACAAGUGCUAGAGUAACUGUUAGCGCCUUGACGGUAUCUAACCAGAAAGCCACGGCUAACUACGUG